This is a long non-coding RNA of Pseudophryne corroboree (corroboree frog), 633 nucleotides long. RefSeq lists it as uncharacterized. NCBI's taxonomy places the organism in Eukaryota, Metazoa, Chordata, Amphibia, Anura, Myobatrachidae. The transcript is spliced from 3 exons. The record is from RefSeq and is a predicted model, not a curated record.
CAGGCCCCUUAGAGCCGUCGGAGCUGCACAAGGCAGUCCAGACUCUACUAGCUGCCGCCUACUGUGAUGAAACUUAAAAUAAACUACAGCUCCCAGAAGUCCUUGCUGCGGGAGCUGUAGUUUACUUUCAGUUUCUUCUAUGUGGACAGUCGUGGGCUGCCUGUUGUGCCCUAAGAGGGGGCACAGGGAAUAAGUUACCCCAGCCUCCCUCUGCUGCCUUUGAUCCCCGCAGCAGUGCACUAUUGCACUGCUGAGCUGGAAAAUGAAUGACAGCCGGAGUUCCGAAAAGGGGGCGGAGCUACACGGCACUGUACUCAGUGCCAGGCCAGCCAGCACCAGCGGAGACAGGAGGGGAGAGAAGAGCAGCAGCACAGCCUAAAUAUGGAACUGACUGCCCAUUUGCCUGCCGUUGGAUGGAAGCAGAUCUUUGCGUCACCGUAGAGUGGAACUCGCUACCCAUUUGCCUGCCGUUCACAGACUUAAGCACGGACCCGUGUACAGAAAGGACAUCACACCUGCCGAUCUUUGCAUCUCCAUACAGUGGAACUCGCUGCCCAUUUGCCUGCCGUUGGAUGGAAGCAGAUCUUUGCGUCACCGUAGAGUAGAACUCGCUACCCAUUUGCCUGCCGUUCA